UACGGAGGAUCCAAGCGUUAUCCGGAUUCAUUGGGUUUAAAGGGUGCGUAGGCGGAAUGAUAAGUCAGCGGUGAAAUCCCUCGGCUUAACCGAGGAACUGCCGUUGAUACUGUCAAUCUUGAGUACAUUUGAUGUGGGCGGAAUGUGUCAUGUAGCGGUGAAAUGCUUAGAUAUGAACACAGAACACCGAUUGCGAAGGCAGCUCACAAAACUGUAACUGACGCUGAGGCACGAAAGCGUGGGUAUCAAACAGG
This 254-nucleotide ribosomal RNA is filed under the name uncultured bacterium. Its description in RNAcentral is "partial 16S ribosomal RNA". It matches the Rfam family "Bacterial small subunit ribosomal RNA", at positions 524 to 776 of the family's 1533-position model. The record is from RNAcentral.